RNAcentral lists this ribosomal RNA (158 nucleotides) under Mortierella macrocystis. RNAcentral's name for it is "5.8S ribosomal RNA". It matches the Rfam family "5.8S ribosomal RNA". From Rfam's summary of the family: 5.8S ribosomal RNA (5.8S rRNA) is a component of the large subunit of the eukaryotic ribosome. It is transcribed by RNA polymerase I as part of the 45S precursor that also contains 18S and 28S rRNA. The record is from RNAcentral. Lineage: Eukaryota; Fungi; Mortierellomycota; Mortierellomycetes; Mortierellales; Mortierellaceae.
CAACUUCCCCCAACGGAUCUCUUGGCUCUCGCAUCGAUGAAGAACGCAGCGAAAUGCGAUACGUAAUGUGAAUUGCAGAAUUCAGUGAAUCAUCGAAUCUUUGAACGCACAUUGCACUCUCUGGUAUUCCGGAGAGUAUGCUUGUUUGAGUAUCUGUA